Molecule: ribosomal RNA, 2231 nt
Filed under: Haliotis fulgens (green abalone)
Lineage: Eukaryota; Metazoa; Mollusca; Gastropoda; Lepetellida; Haliotidae
Description: bacterial LSU rRNA
Rfam family: Bacterial large subunit ribosomal RNA
Source: RNAcentral
UGGUCGGGCGACUGCGUGCCUUUUGCAGAAUGAGCCUGCGAGUUGUCCUGCGUAGCAAGGUUAAGGUACAGGAGUACCGGAGCCGGAGGGAAACCGAGUCUGAACAGGGCGAAGAGUUGCGUGGGGCAGACCCGAAACUGAGUGAUCUACUUAUGGCCAGGUUGAAGCUUGGGUAAUGCCAAGUGGAGGACCGAACCCUAGUCUGUUAAAAAAGGCAGGGAUGAGCUGUGAGUCGGAGUGAAAGGCUAAUCAAACUCAGAAAUAGCUGGUUCUCCCCGAAAUGGUUUUAGGAUCAGCCUCAUAUGUUUUUCAACGGAGGUAGAGCACUGGUUAGGCUAGGGCGGGUCAAACCGUACCAAACUUAGUCAAACUCCGAAUGCCGUUGUUUUAUAGUAUGGGAGUGAGACUGCGGGUGAUAAGAUUCGCAGUCGAAAGGGAAACAGCCCGGAGCGACAGCUAAGGUCCCUAAAUUGUGUUAAGUGGAAAAGGAAGUAUGACGGCCCAGACAGCCAGGAGGUUGGCUUAGAAGCAGCCAUCCUUUAAAGAUAGCGUAACAGCUCACUAGUCUAUAUUUAAGCUUUUCUGCGCCGACAAUGUAACGGGGCUAAAGUUAUGUGCCGAAGACAUGGGUUUAUAAGAUGUAUUUAUAUCUUAUAAGCGGUAGCAGAGCGUUCCAAUACCACUGAAGAUAAUUCGUGAGAGUUGUUGGAGGUUUUGGAAGUGAGAAUGCUGACAUGAGUAGCAGUAAAGAAUGUGAGAAUCAUUCUCGUCGUAAAUCUAAGGUUUCCUACGUAAAGAUGAUCUGCGUAGGGUUAGUCGGCCCCUAAGGUGAGGCUGAAAAGCGUAAUUGAUGGGAUAUUAGGUUAAUAUUCCUAAACCAGUGGAAAGUGACAAAUUUUGUAAAUAGUAAUUUCUUAUUGGAUUGAAAUUGCUGUGAAAAAGUUUCAGGAAAUAGCUUCCAUAUUAGACCGUACCGUAAACCGACACAGGUAGAUGAGUAGAGUAUACUAAGACGUAUGAGAUAAUGAUACUAAAGGAACUCGGCAAAUUGUGCUCAUAACUUUGGAAUAAGAGUAGUCUAUAUUUGGGCAACCAUUUAUAGAUGGCACAGAAGAGGGGGUGGCGACUGUUUAUCAAAAACACAGGACUCUGCUAACACGCAAGUGGAUGUAUAGGGUCUGACACCUGCCCAGUGCUGGAAGGUUAACAGGAGGGGUGCAAGCUCUAAAUCGAAGCCCCAGUGAACGGCGGCCGUAACUAUAACGGUCCUAAGGUAACGAAAUUCCUUGUCGGGUGAGUUCCGACCUGCAUGAAUGGUGUAACGACUUCCCCGCUGUCUCUAGUAUCAACUCAGCGAAAUUGAAUUCUCCGUUAAGAUGCGGAGUACUUGCGGCUGGACGAGCAGACCCUAUGCACCUUUACUAUAGCUUUAUAUUGGUGUUAGAAGUAUAUUGUGCAGGAUAGGUGGGAAGCUUUGAAGUUAGGGCGCUAGCCUUAAUGGAGCUAACCUUGAGAUACCACCCUUUAUACUUUUGAUACCUAACCAUAAUCCAUUAUCUGGAUUUGGGACAUUGUAUGGUGGGUAGUUUGACUGGGGCGGUCGCCUCCUAAAGAGUAACGGAGGUGUACAAAGGUAGGUUCAGACCAGUCAGAAAUUGGUUGUAGAGUGCAAUGGCAAAAGCCUGCUUGACUGUAAGGCUGACAGGCCGAGCAGAAACGAAAGUUGGUCAUAGUGAUCCGGUGGUUUUGUGUGGAAAAGCCAUCGCUCAACGGAUAAAAGGUACGCUAGGGAUAACAGGCUGAUGGUGUCUGAGAGUUCAUAUCGACGACACCGAUUGGCACCUCGCUGUCGACUCAUCACAUCCUGGGGCUGAAGAAGGUCCCAAGGGUUCGGCUGUUCGCCGAUUAAAGUGGUACGUGAGUUGGGUUCAGAACGUCGUGAGACAGUUCGGUUUCUAUCCUCCGCAAGUGUUGGAAAUUUGAGGGAACCUGGCUCAAGUACGAGAGGACCGAGCUGGACAUACCUCUGGUGCACCAGUUGUCACGCCAGUGGCAUGGCUGGAUAGCUACGUAUGGACGAGAUAACCACUGAAAGCAUCUAAGUGGGAAACUCAUCCCAAAACUAAAUUUCCCUAUAGGGUUGUAAUAGACUAUUACAUUGAUAGGCUAGAUGUGUAAGCAUGGUAACAUGUUCAGCUAACUAGUACUAAUAACCCAAUUGUUUUUUCUAA